UAGCCCAGUCAUAUAACCCUGCAGCCCAAGACUGGCUACUCACUGAAGCUAAGCAGGGCUGAGCCUGGUCAAUAUGGUAGUAUGGGAGACCAUAUAUGAAAGCUAGGUUGCUGUUGUAA
RNAcentral lists this ribosomal RNA (119 nucleotides) under Danio rerio (zebrafish). Lineage: Eukaryota; Metazoa; Chordata; Actinopteri; Cypriniformes; Danionidae. The record is from RNAcentral.